UGCAUGUAUCUCACUGGCCAACACCAUGACAAGCAGCUGCCCCUACAUACUGGUGUGGAGCUGUGACAUGGUGUGGAUAAGAGAUUGCCUCUCCAAGGCCCUGCUAACAUGACCCCUGACCUGUGACUGGUCUUCAAUUCAGCGGUCAGUAGUCCUCAUUUACUUCCCUUUCAUAAUUUUUCA
Molecule: long non-coding RNA, 183 nt
Filed under: Chinchilla lanigera (long-tailed chinchilla)
Lineage: Eukaryota; Metazoa; Chordata; Mammalia; Rodentia; Chinchillidae
Description: lncRNA (ENSCLAG00000027408.1)
Source: RNAcentral